UCGUACGCACUGGCCCAACUGAUUGAUGGUGCUUGCACCUGAUUGACGAUGGAUUACCAGUGAGUGGCGGACGGGUGAGUAACACGUAGGUAACCUGCCCCGGAGCGGGGGAUAACAUUUGGAAACAGAUGCUAAUACCGCAUAACAACAAAAGCCACAUGGCUUUUGUUUGAAAGAUGGCUUUGGCUAUCACUCUGGGAUGGACCUGCGGUGCAUUAGCUAGUUGGUAAGGUAACGGCUUACCAAGGCGAUGAUGCAUAGCCGAGUUGAGAGACUGAUCGGCCACAAUGGAACUGAGACACGGUCCAUACUCCUACGGGAGGCAGCAGUAGGGAAUCUUCCACAAUGGGCGCAAGCCUGAUGGAGCAACACCGCGUGAGUGAAGAAGGGUUUCGGCUCGUAAAGCUCUGUUGUUGGAGAAGAACGUGCGUGAGAGUAACUGUUCACGCAGUGACGGUAUCCAACCAGAAAGUCACGGCUAACUACGUGCCAGCAGCCGCGGUAAUACGUAGGUGGCAAGCGUUAUCCGGAUUUAUUGGGCGUAAAGCGAGCGCAGGCGGUUGCUUAGGUCUGAUGUGAAAGCCUUCGGCUUAACCGAAGAAGUGCAUCGGAAACCGGGCGACUUGAGUGCAGAAGAGGACAGUGGAACUCCAUGUGUAGCGGUGGAAUGCGUAGAUAUAUGGAAGAACACCAGUGGCGAAGGCGGCUGUCUGGUCUGCAACUGACGCUGAGGCUCGAAAGCAUGGGUAGCGAACAGGAUUAGAUACCCUGGUAGUCCAUGCCGUAAACGAUGAGUGCUAGGUGUUGGAGGGUUUCCGCCCUUCAGUGCCGGAGCUAACGCAUUAAGCACUCCGCCUGGGGAGUACGACCGCAAGGUUGAAACUCAAAGGAAUUGACGGGGGCCCGCACAAGCGGUGGAGCAUGUGGUUUAAUUCGAAGCUACGCGAAGAACCUUACCAGGUCUUGACAUCUUGCGCUAACCUUAGAGAUAAGGCGUUCCCUUCGGGGACGCAAUGACAGGUGGUGCAUGGUCGUCGUCAGCUCGUGUCGUGAGAUGUUGGGUUAAGUCCCGCAACGAGCGCAACCCUUGUUACUAGUUGCAGCAUUAAGUUGGGCACUCUAGUGAGACUGCCGGUGACAAACCGGAGGAAGGUGGGGACGACGUCAGAUCAUCAUGCCCCUUAUGACCUGGGCUACACACGUGCUACAAUGGACGGUACAACGAGUCGCAAGCUCGCGAGAGUAAGCUAAUCUCUUAAAGCCGUUCUCAGUUCGGACUGUAGGCUGCAACUCGCCUACACGAAGUCGGAAUCGCUAGUAAUCGCGGAUCAGCAUGCCGCGGUGAAUACGUUCCCGGGCCUUGUACACACCGCCCGUCACACCAUGGGAGUUUGUAACGCCCAAAGUCGGUGGCCUAACCUUUAUUGGGAAGGA
RNAcentral lists this ribosomal RNA (1434 nucleotides) under Limosilactobacillus reuteri. Its description in RNAcentral is "bacterial SSU rRNA". It matches the Rfam family "Bacterial small subunit ribosomal RNA". The record is from RNAcentral. Lineage: Bacteria; Bacillati; Bacillota; Bacilli; Lactobacillales; Lactobacillaceae.